UAGGGAAUAUUGGACAAUGGGGGCAACCCUGAUCCAGCCAUGCCGCGUGAGUGAAGAAGGCCCUCGGGUUGUAAAGCUCUUUUGUCCGGAAAGAAAAGCAUCGGGUUAAUACCCCGGUGUUCUGACGGUACCGGAAGAAUAAGCACCGGCUAACUUCGUGCCAGCAGCCGCGGUAAUACGAAGGGUGCAAGCGUUACUCGGAAUUACUGGGCGUAAAGCGUGCGUAGGUGGUUCGUUAAGUCUGAUGUGAAAGCCCUGGGCUCAACCUGGGAAUGGCAUUGGAAACUGGCGUACUGGAGCGCGGUAGAGGGUAGCGGAAUUCCCGGUGUAGCAGUGAAAUGCGUAGAGAUCGGGAGGAACAUCCGUGGCGAAGGCGGCUACCUGGACCAGCACUGACACUGAGGCACGAAAGCGUGGGGAGCAAACA
RNAcentral lists this ribosomal RNA (427 nucleotides) under uncultured bacterium. RNAcentral describes it as "bacterial SSU rRNA". It matches the Rfam family "Bacterial small subunit ribosomal RNA", at positions 355 to 774 of the family's 1533-position model. The record is from RNAcentral.